RNAcentral lists this ribosomal RNA (292 nucleotides) under uncultured bacterium. Its description in RNAcentral is "partial 16S ribosomal RNA". It matches the Rfam family "Bacterial small subunit ribosomal RNA", at positions 505 to 796 of the family's 1533-position model. The record is from RNAcentral.
GUGCCAGCAGCCGCGGUAAUACGGAGGGUGCGAGCGUUGUUCGGAAUCACUGGGCGUAAAGCGCGUGUAGGCGGCCUUUUAAGUCUGGUGUGAAAGCCCGGGGCUCACCCCCGGAAGUGCACUGGAAACUGGAAGGCUUGAGUACCGGAGAGGAGGGUGGAAUUCCUGGUGUAGCGGUGAAAUGCGUAGAUAUCAGGAGGAACACCGGUGGCGAAGGCGGCCCUCUGGACGGAUACUGACGCUGAGACGCGAAAGCGUGGGGAGCAAACAGGAUUAGAUACCCUUGUAGUCC